This is a non-coding RNA of Acanthosepion pharaonis, 110 nucleotides long. NCBI's taxonomy places the organism in Eukaryota, Metazoa, Mollusca, Cephalopoda, Sepiida, Sepiidae. The record is from the annotation of a GenBank genome assembly.
UAUGGCCAUAUCACAUUGAAACACCAGUUCUCAUAUGAUCACCGGAGUUAAGCAACAUCAAACCUGGUCAUUACCUAGAUGGGAGACCACUUGGGAAUACUAGAUGCAGU